Cucurbita moschata (crookneck pumpkin) is the source of this 2420-nucleotide RNA transcript. RefSeq lists it as uncharacterized. The record is from RefSeq and is a predicted model, not a curated record. The transcript is spliced from 5 exons. NCBI's taxonomy places the organism in Eukaryota, Viridiplantae, Streptophyta, Magnoliopsida, Cucurbitales, Cucurbitaceae.
UACUAUAUUUAGCUCUAGAGAUAUGAUAGAAGAUGGUUCCCAUUGCCUCUUAGUUACUUGCACUCGAGCUUCAACUCCAUACCAACUCCCGAUCGAUGGACGAAAAUCUGAAAAUCCAACGCUUUGAAGUUCCUCCUUCGGCCUCAAACUUCGAGUUUCUCAUCGAAUCUCGCGACGUUCCCGCUGUUCUUGUAGGAGGCGUUAUGGACUGGAGAUCUUUAUCGGAGUGGAUUUCGUACAAUGGCGGCCUUGGCAAUCUACAGGUUGUAUUUCAACGUUCCCGCUGUAAGCUAGCUUGUUUUGAUAUAUAUAUAUAUAUAUUUUACAAUUUAAUCCUUGUAAUUAAAAAGACGUAAUCAAUAAGUGCCUUGUCAAAGAUUCCUCUGUAAUUCAGCCAUAGGAAUAAGUUGGCAUUUACCAAUGCAUAGGUAACUCCAAAUAAGAUUUGUAAUGAAUUUGUUGAUGUAAAACAUUUAACCGUUACAUUUUUUAACAAGUACGAGGAGAAUGUUGCUGUAAAGAAAAGUAGGAAGACUAGAACGUUAUAAAUGUCAUAAUAUUGGGACUCUCGUGGAGUAUUGUGCUUAAGAUCAAGUUAUUCUGGCCUAUGUUUGAAAGCUUGUAAGCUAUGAUCACUAACUGUAUGAUGAAAAUUUAUAGAUUGAGUUUGAAUACUCAGUAUCUCCAUGAAUAUUGCAUUAUGCUUUUUUCUCAUUAAGGCUAUUGUGAUAGAGUUGGGUUUGACAUCUUUAAAAUUAAGGUCAGAACGAAGUUUUGCAUGUGCCUUGUUCUCUUGCUGACAUGAAUGAAACAAAGAACCAUGAGCAUGUCGUACCAAGUAUCAGAAGGUUGGGCGUUCAAGAGUGUGCUGGAUAAAUACUUGGGAGUAAACUUAAAUGGGCCAAAUCCGGGAUCUUGAAGGGGAAGUCCUUUAAAGAAAUUGGUCCUGCAGAUUCUGGAGCAUAUCGAUGCUAUCCAUUUUCUAAGCUUUUCCUCGAUUGGAAUCACAUAAAGGUAGAUGCACCACUUUGCAUUAUCACCAUGGCUUUUUACUCUCAUCAGCUUGGGAGAAUAUAAAAUAUAUACACAUACUAAGCUGAUUGAACCUCUGGUUAAGCUGGCUACUAAAGGUUGUGUUGUGGGGAAUAUGCACAGAAAUUGAUAAAGCCCCUCUUAGCAACAACAGUAACAAAAGAAAGACUCACCACAGAAUUGCAAUUCAAUCUUCCAGAGCUCUUUGUUGGUAUCAUUUUCAUCCCCGUUGACAUUUUCUUCUUCUUCUUUUUUUUUUUUCUUUAUUUUCCUUUUCUUCCUUUAGGUGUUAGUUUGCAGCAGCACCCAAAUCCCGGACCACCACCACAAACACUCGCUCACUGAGGCACAAAUCCACAUAACACCAUCAACUUAGGUUGCCUUUAUUUUUUAAGAGAGGAAAAAAAGAAAAAAACACUCGCACUUGCAACUAAAUUUUACUGCUCCCUCCAUCUGACUUCACAAAAGGCUUCUCUAUUCAAAUAGUUCCAGUAAUUUCUCAGUUCCUCUAGAAAAGUUGUGAAGGGGAAAAGAAAAAAAAAACAUCUUGGGAUUUGAUUUUUUCAACUGGAAUUUCACCCAUGAUGUGGAAAAAGAAUGUUUUGCCCGUUCUUGCCUGUAAUGGUAAUAAGGUUGAAUAUCCAACUUGUUAGGAAUCACAAAUCUCCACUCCACUUUAAGUAUAAACUCUUAUGGUUUUACUUUUGGUUUUCCCGAAAAGCCUCGUAUCAAUAGAGAUGUAUUCCUUACUUAUAAACCCAUGAUCAUUUCCUUAAUUAGCCAAUGUAGAACUGCCUCCCAACAAUUCUCAACACGACUGAUAGGACAAAUGUGAGUUUUAACCGUCCAAAGAUAGGUUCUACAAGGCCUAAGUCCAAUAUGCCAUAUUUUGAGUUUGUGAGGAAUAAUUUUCAAAGUCCUGUUUCAAAACAGACUCCUAGUCAUCUUAAGUAUAAAACUAGGUAACUUUAAAUGAACCACUUUAAAUUUGUCAUUUUUUACUUGGUCACCACAAGCCUCCAAUCUUGAUCAUUACAAUACAUUAUGAAAAAAGAGGCUGGAAGGAGGAAGAGAGUGGCAUCGCUGUCGCACAAAUGGUGGGUUUGGGGUCCUCUGUAGAGCAGUAGGGGCCAUAACCAUUAACCACACUGGUCGCUCUCGAAGAGUACACGCAUUGGCUCCCACCACCGACAUCUCCCUUUGUCCACAUCCCAAUAUUACUUCUCCUCCUUUCUUAUUCCCAUUACUUUUCUUAUAGGCUCUGAGUUUUUCCCAAUAAUCAUGUGGGAAUUCGGUCAAUCCGAUUCUAUAUGAAUUUGACUCUGUUUUAAUCUUUGCAAUUACUCAAAGUUUGAUUAAAUUGUAAUAAUGUUCUUAUAUAAUUUGAU